UACAGAGGGUGCGAGCGUUAAUCGGAAUUACUGGGCGUAAAGCGUGCGCAGGCGGUUCGUUGUGUCGGUGGUGAAAGCCCCGGGCUUAACCUGGGAAUGGCCAUGGAAACUGGCGAACUGGAGUGUGGCAGAGGGGGGUGGAAUUCCGCGUGUAGCAGUGAAAUGCGUAGAGAUGCGGAGGAACACCGAUGGCGAAGGCAGCCCCCUGGGCUAGCACUGACGCUCAGGCACGAAAGCGUGGGGAGCAAACAGG
This 253-nucleotide ribosomal RNA is filed under the name uncultured bacterium. RNAcentral describes it as "partial 16S ribosomal RNA". It matches the Rfam family "Bacterial small subunit ribosomal RNA", at positions 524 to 776 of the family's 1533-position model. The record is from RNAcentral.